Molecule: ribosomal RNA, 209 nt
Filed under: uncultured bacterium
Lineage: Bacteria
Description: partial 16S ribosomal RNA
Rfam family: Bacterial small subunit ribosomal RNA
Source: RNAcentral
UGCGCAGGUGGGCUGGUAAGUUCGAUGUGAAAGCCCCGGGCUUAACCCGGGAAAGGCAUUGGAAACUACUGGUCUGGAGGAUUGGAGGGGGGACUGGAAUUCUUGGUGUAGCAGUGAAAUGCGUAGAUAUCAAGAGGAACACCAGUGGCGAAGGCGAGUCCCUGGACAAUUCCUGACACUGAGGCACGAAAGCUAGGGGAAGCAAACAG